CCUUAAGGUGGGCACUCUAAGGAGACUGCCGGUGACAAACCGGAGGAAGGUGGGGAUGACGUCAAGUCAUCAUGGCCCUUACGGCCAGGGCUACACCCGUGCUACAAUGGUCGGUACAAAGGGUUGCUACACAGCGAGGUGGUGCUAAUCUCAAAAAGCCGAUCGUAGUCCGGAUUGGAGUCUGCAACUCGCUCCAUGAAGUCGGAAUCGCU
This 212-nucleotide ribosomal RNA is filed under the name uncultured bacterium. RNAcentral describes it as "partial 16S ribosomal RNA". It matches the Rfam family "Bacterial small subunit ribosomal RNA", at positions 1124 to 1336 of the family's 1533-position model. The record is from RNAcentral.